Molecule: ribosomal RNA, 530 nt
Filed under: Micromonospora sp. LP75
Lineage: Bacteria; Bacillati; Actinomycetota; Actinomycetes; Micromonosporales; Micromonosporaceae
Description: bacterial SSU rRNA
Rfam family: Bacterial small subunit ribosomal RNA
Source: RNAcentral
UCGCGGCCUAUCAGCUUGUUGGUGGGGUGAUGGCCUACCAAGGCGACGACGGGUAGCCGGCCUGAGAGGGCGACCGGCCACACUGGGACUGAGACACGGCCCAGACUCCUACGGGAGGCAGCAGUGGGGAAUAUUGCACAAUGGGCGGAAGCCUGAUGCAGCGACGCCGCGUGAGGGAUGACGGCCUUCGGGUUGUAAACCUCUUUCAGCAGGGACGAAGCGAAAGUGACGGUACCUGCAGAAGAAGCGCCGGCCAACUACGUGCCAGCAGCCGCGGUAAGACGUAGGGCGCGAGCGUUGUCCGGAUUUAUUGGGCGUAAAGAGCUCGUAGGCGGCUUGUCGCGUCGACUGUGAAAACCCGCAGCUCAACUGCGGGCCUGCAGUCGAUACGGGCAGGCUAGAGUUCGGUAGGGGAGACUGGAAUUCCUGGUGUAGCGGUGAAAUGCGCAGAUAUCAGGAGGAACACCGGUGGCGAAGGCGGGUCUCUGGGCCGAUACUGACGCUGAGGAGCGAAAGCGUGGGGAGCGAAC